Molecule: ribosomal RNA, 253 nt
Filed under: uncultured bacterium
Lineage: Bacteria
Description: partial 16S ribosomal RNA
Rfam family: Bacterial small subunit ribosomal RNA
Source: RNAcentral
UACGUAGGGUGCAAGCGUUAAUCGGAAUUACUGGGCGUAAAGCGUGCGCAGGCGGUUAUGCAGGACAGAUGUGAAAUCCCCGGGCUUAACCUGGGAACCGCAUUUGUGGCUGCAUAGCUGGAGUACGGCAGAGGGGGAUGGAAUUCCGCGUGUAGCAGUGAAAUGCGUAGAUAUGCGGAGGAACACCGAUGGCGAAGGCAAUCCCCUGGGCCUGCACUGACGCUCAUGCACGAAAGCGUGGGGAGCAAACAGG